Molecule: non-coding RNA, 420 nt
Organism: Gasterosteus aculeatus aculeatus (three-spined stickleback)
Lineage: Eukaryota; Metazoa; Chordata; Actinopteri; Perciformes; Gasterosteidae
Source: RefSeq, a predicted model, not a curated record
GACGUCACUCUUCUCCUUCACAGAGAAACAUAGAAAGAACCGUCUCGUUGUGCUGGUGGUUUAUCUUCUUCUUAACUUUGCAAAUGAGUUAAGAUGAACUUCACUGAGGAGUUUACGUGUUGAAGAGCUUCAGGACUCAAGACGUCCACGCCUCCAUGUUUGUUUCUCCUCGUUAAAGUCGCGCCGACUUUGUUGCUGUUGAAGUUCUUCUCGCGUCGGACCAACUAACGCCGUCGUGUUUCGUACUAAACACCGGACUUCACGUCGGGCUUCCGCGCCGAGAGAACCGUCCAUGGAGGACACCGAGUGAUACAACAUACACAACAAGCUGCGUGUCCUGGCUAAAAGGCUUUAUAAAUCCGUGCACGGGAGGAGAUGAUCUGCAGCAUCCUGGUGAUCUUCAUCCUGACCUCCUGUGUC